Pan troglodytes (chimpanzee) is the source of this 148-nucleotide non-coding RNA. It matches the Rfam family "Metazoan signal recognition particle RNA". Rfam says of the family: The signal recognition particle (SRP) is a universally conserved ribonucleoprotein. The record is from Rfam. NCBI's taxonomy places the organism in Eukaryota, Metazoa, Chordata, Mammalia, Primates, Hominidae.
GCCAGGCGUGGUUGUGCACGCCUGUAAUCCUAGCUACUCAGGAGGCUGAGACAGGAGAAUCGCUUGAACCCAGGAAGGGGAGGGUGCAGUGAGCUGAGAUCACGCCACUGCACUCCAGCCUGGGUGACAGAGCAAGACUCUGUCUCAA